RNAcentral lists this ribosomal RNA (253 nucleotides) under uncultured bacterium. RNAcentral describes it as "partial 16S ribosomal RNA". It matches the Rfam family "Bacterial small subunit ribosomal RNA", at positions 524 to 776 of the family's 1533-position model. The record is from RNAcentral.
GACAGAGGUGCCAAGCGUUAGGCGGAAUCACUGGGCUUAAAGCGUGUGUAGGCGGAUCGUUAAGUACCUUGUGAAAUCCCACGGCUCAACCGUGGAACUGCUGGGUAUACUGGCGAUCUUGAGCCACCUAGGGGCGAGCGGAACAAGCGGUGGAGCGGUGAAAUGCGUAGAUAUCGCUUGGAACGCCAAUGGUGAAAACAGCUCGCUGGGGGUGUGCUGACGCUGAGACCCGAAAGCCAGGGGAGCGAACGGG